RNAcentral lists this ribosomal RNA (483 nucleotides) under uncultured bacterium. RNAcentral describes it as "partial 16S ribosomal RNA". It matches the Rfam family "Bacterial small subunit ribosomal RNA", at positions 28 to 523 of the family's 1533-position model. The record is from RNAcentral.
GACGAACGCUGGCGGCGUGCUUAACACAUGCAAGUCGAACGAUGAAGCUGGAGCUUGCUCCGGUGGAUUAGUGGCGAACGGGUGAGUAACACGUGAGCAAUCUGCCCUUGACUCUGGGAUAACUGCGGGAAACUGUAGCUAAUACCGGAUACGAGGCUCGAAGGCAUCUUCGGGUCUGGAAAGAAUUUCGGUCAAGGAUGAGCUCGCGGCCUAUCAGCUUGUUGGUGAGGUAAUGGCUCACCAAGGCGACGACGGGUAGCCGGCCUGAGAGGGUGACCGGCCAGACUGGGACUGAGACACGGGCCAGACUCCUACGGGAGGCAGCAGUGGGGAAUAUUGCACAAUGGGCGAAAGCCUGAUGCAGCAAUGCCGCGUGAGGGAUGAAGGCCUUCGGGUUGUAAACCUCCUUUAGCAGGGAAGAAGCGAAAGUGACGGUACCUGCAGAAAAAGCACCGGCUAACUACGUGCCAGCAGCCGCGGUAA